RNAcentral lists this long non-coding RNA (1091 nucleotides) under Trifolium pratense (red clover). Its description in RNAcentral is "long non-coding RNA (TPRA_LNC007315)". The record is from RNAcentral. Lineage: Eukaryota; Viridiplantae; Streptophyta; Magnoliopsida; Fabales; Fabaceae.
UGGGUAUAAGUCAACCCCACAAAAUAAGCUUGUAAGGUGAAGGAUGCCCACCAUUUAUAAACACCAUUCAGGCCAUAUCACCUUCCAAUGUGGGACUCUCAAUACACACCCCUCUCACACUCAAGAUUGGACAUCUAGAGCAUGAUCUAAGUGACAUGGUAACAGGUGGCCCAAUAGAUCUAGGAGAGGCUCUAAUACCAUAUUAGAAUUUUGGAUUGGCUCAAACUCAUCCAUACAAAAACCAGUUAAUAAGAUGAGGGAUGCCCACCAUGGUUGUCAGGAUCGGGAUCCCACUAAAGAUUGUUGGGGUAUGAAAAGAUCGUAGAUCGUAGGAUCGUAACAAGGAUCGUAAGAUCCCACAAAUUUUCUCAAACAUAAAAACAUCAUUAAUAUUAAACAUAAUCAAAACAUAAAAACUUCAUUAGUCAUUAACAUAAUCAAAAUAGCUUAGACUUUUAAACUUAAAUAAACUUAGACAUAGAAAAAUAACUUACACUCUUAAACUUAAAAACUAAACAUAGACUCUUAAACUUAAUAGCUUAGACUCUUAAACUUAAACUUAAAAACCCCUAAUUCAUCAAGUCUUUCGAGACAAGUGCAGUUCUGAGAGGUUGAAGAGAUGAGAAUAGGAUGAAGAGAAUUUAUAGAAGAGAUUGAACUAGGGAAUACAAGUGAAUGAUUAGUAAAUACUAUUAAUGAAAUUAGAGAUACAGUUGAUGAAUUAGGGAUAGGGAUGCGAUUUGUAUCAAGUAGCCACCAAUUCCCCAAGUUAACAAAAGUUCCUCAAUUUUCGAUCCAAAACGAGCAGGUUUCUAGUUGAAACGGUUCAGUUUCGGGGUGGGGAAGUGCAAUAUGAACCGGGUCAAAACAGAGCAACUGGGUCGGGUCGGUGCAAAACGAGUUGAAACUUUAUUGAUCCAGUAUGAAACGAUGCGUGGAAGAUCGCUGAUCCCGCGAUUUCACGCUCUUCCUCUGCGCUUUCACGGUUUCAGCGUAUCUUAGGAGUUUCGAACCGCUCCGGCACGGUGGAUGACGGCCAACUCGUAAGAUCGUAAGAUCUGAGGAGUUAACUCCCGAUCUUGACAACCAUG